RNAcentral lists this transfer RNA (69 nucleotides) under Cephalcia infumata. RNAcentral describes it as "tRNA-Val". The record is from RNAcentral. Lineage: Eukaryota; Metazoa; Arthropoda; Insecta; Hymenoptera; Pamphiliidae.
AAGUAAAGAAUUUCCUUUACAAAGAAAAUAAUUAUCGUGCAAUUCGAUUUAAUUUGAUAAAUAAAUAAA